Molecule: long non-coding RNA, 1363 nt
Organism: Ipomoea triloba (trilobed morning glory)
Lineage: Eukaryota; Viridiplantae; Streptophyta; Magnoliopsida; Solanales; Convolvulaceae
Exons: 3
Source: RefSeq, a predicted model, not a curated record
AUAACCCUAAAUAUAAGCUUCAGCCGACGGCUCCAUCUUCACCAUCGCCAAUCUCCCAGCUCCUCGCUGUCGCCUCCAUCUUCACCGUCGACCCAGCCGCGCCCACUCCCAGUUCCCCGUCGACCCAGCCGCUCUCCAACAGAUCUGAAGCCACAGGCGACGCCGCCGAACCGCCCUUCCUCCGCUGGCGCUGCCUCACUCGCGACCGCUAAACGCCACCGCCACCACCCCGGAGCUGCCUCACUCGCCGGAGCUGCCAUCCUUCACCAGCUGCUACGAUAGCUGUUUAAAGAAGGAAGAAUGGCAUUAGUUCCUGAAUCUGAGCAGCUUGGGAAGAUUUCCCUUCUGAAGGUGAGCCUACACUGGUAAAGCUAAACCAGUCACAACUUUUGAAAGGGUUUAGAUUCAACUAACCUAGUAGAUCAGGAGGAACCAGAGAACUAAACUGCUAACCAUAUAUGUCUUCAGCCUUGGGGUGAACUAUGGAGAGUAGAAAACAGUAAGUAAAACAUUCUUUUUGUAACUUGUUUUUAAGAUUUCAUUUAUGUUAUCAUACAUUUUAUAACACGGCCCUAGUUUUUACAUGGUACUUCUUUUAUUUUUGCAUGUGUCUGGAUUUAUCUGCUGAUUUUGUCACUGCUUUAAGUGAAGCUUAUGAAUGAAUAUGCGCUACUGGCUUUGUGGAUUUGAUGUUUACUUCAUCAAUAUUGGUUUCCAUGUUUUUCCUUAAGUGAAGUGCAUGCUCUUUUGAGUUCUGAACUAUAGUGAGAAUGAUUGAUUAUUUACCUUCUACUUUUAACUUAUGUGAGCAAAGAACUGAUGGAAUGAUAAUACUAUUUUUUUUUUUGAAACAUGGAAUGAUAAUACUAUAAUAGUGUAAAAUUUGUAGUUUCCUUGACAGUGGUUUGUGCAUAUAGUUGAUACUUUUUGGUGUUGCAUGGUCGUUGGUAGAUAUUUCUUAGUAUUUCUUAUUUAAUUCUUUAUAUUUCUUAUAAGGACAUAUAUCUUAUUUUUGAGGCAAAUGAGGAUUGUAACUGCUACAGCUAUGAUGCUAAAAAAAGCUAGGAUAUCUGUUGCAGCGACAGCAGGAGUAUAUUUAUUGCAAUUAUUGGCAGGUUUAAUCUAUGUGGAAGUUUACAUGAAGAGGAAAAAGGAAGGUCUCAUUGUCGCCAACUUCUGUAAAUUGUAAUUUCAUUCUUCUCUUUUGUAGCUUUCAAUUAUUUUUUAAUUUAGAACUGUAAAUUUGUAAUUUCAUUCAAGUAUUUUAAUUUUUGAGAAUGAAGUAUUGUAAUGUUUGAAAAUGUAAUUUCAUAGUGUUUGUAUUGAGAGAUUAUACGGUGUAUAAAAGGGAAUAUUGUUGUUU